Molecule: ribosomal RNA, 898 nt
Filed under: Capoeta capoeta (Transcaucasian barb)
Lineage: Eukaryota; Metazoa; Chordata; Actinopteri; Cypriniformes; Cyprinidae
Description: partial 16S ribosomal RNA
Rfam family: Bacterial large subunit ribosomal RNA
Source: RNAcentral
AAGAAAUCUUAUUCCCCUAAAUACUAUUAGGCCAACCCAUGCCCACAUGGAAGAGACUAUGCUAAAAUGAGUAACAAGAAGGCUCGCCCUUCUCCAAGCACAAGUGUAAGCCAAAACGGACCAACCAUUGGCAACUAACGAACUCAACCCAAGAGAGCAAUGUGAACUACAAGUAUAAACAAGAAGAACCCACAACUAAGCCAUCGUUACCCCCACACUGGAGUGCCAUCAGAGGAAAGACUAAAAGAAAGGGAAGGAACUCGGCAAACACAAGCCUCGCCUGUUUACCAAAAACAUCGCCUCCUGCAACGCAGCCAAGUAUAGGAGGUCCAGCCUGCCCAGUGACUACAAGUUCAACGGCCGCGGUAUUUUGACCGUGCAAAGGUAGCGCAAUCACUUGUCUUUUAAAUAGAGACCUGUAUGAAUGGCUAAACGAGGGCUUAACUGUCUCCCCUUUCAAGUCAGUGAAAUUGAUCUACCCGUGCAGAAGCGGGUAUAAUUAUACAAGACGAGAAGACCCUUUGGAGCUUAAGGUACAAAACUCAACCACGUUAAGCAACUCAAUAAAAAGCAAAAACUUUAUGGAAUAUGAUAUUUUACCUUCGGUUGGGGCGACCACGGAAGAAAAAAAAUCCUCCGAGUGGACCGGGACAAACCUCCUAAAACCAAGAGACACACCUCUAAGCCACAGAACAUCUGACCAAACAUGAUCCGGCCAUAAAAGCCGAUCAACGAACCAAGUUACCCUAGGGAUAACAGCGCAAUCCUCUCCCAGAGUCCAUAUCGACGAGGGGGUUUACGACCUCGAUGUUGGAUCAGGACAUCCUAAUGGUGCAGCCGCUAUUAAGGGUUCGUUUGUUCAACGAUUAAAGUCCUACGUGAUCUGAGUUCAGACCGG